GAUGAACGCUAGCGGGAGGCCUAACACAUGCAAGCCGAGCGGUAUAAUUCUUUCGGGAAUUAGAGAGCGGCGCACGGGUGCGGAACACGUGUGCAACCUGCCUUUAUCUGGGGGAUAGCCUUCCGAAAGGGAGAUUAAUCCCCCAUAAUAUAUUGACUGGCAUCAGUUAAUAUUGAAAACUCCGGUGGAUCGGGAUGGGCACGCGCAAGAUUGGAAAGUUGGUGAGGUAACGGCUAACCAAGUCAGUGAUCUUUAGGGGGCCUGAGAGGGUGAUCCCCCACACUGGUACUGAGACACGGACCAGACUCCUACGGGAGGCAGCAGUGAGGAAUAUUGGACAAUGGUUGAGAGCCUGAUCCAGCCAUCCCGCGUGAAGGACGACGGCCCUAUGGGUUGUAAACUUCUUUUGUACAGGGAUAAACCUAGAUACGUGUAUCUAGCUGAAGGUACUGUACGAAUAAGCACCGGCUAACUCCGUGCCAGCCGCCGCAGUAA
This 495-nucleotide ribosomal RNA is filed under the name uncultured bacterium. RNAcentral's name for it is "partial 16S ribosomal RNA". It matches the Rfam family "Bacterial small subunit ribosomal RNA", at positions 28 to 523 of the family's 1533-position model. The record is from RNAcentral.